UACGGAGGGUGCAAGCGUUAUCCGGAUUCACUGGGUUUAAAGGGUGCGUAGGUGGGCUGGUAAGUCAGUGGUGAAAUCUCCGAGCUUAACUCGGAAACUGCCAUUGAUACUAUUAGUCUUGAAUAUUGUGGAGGUCAGCGGAAUAUGUCAUGUAGCGGUGAAAUGCUUAGAUAUGACAUAGAACACCGAUUGCGAAGGCAGCUCGCUACACGGUUAUUGACGCUGAGGCACGAAAGCGUGGGGAUCAAACAGG
RNAcentral lists this ribosomal RNA (253 nucleotides) under uncultured bacterium. RNAcentral describes it as "partial 16S ribosomal RNA". It matches the Rfam family "Bacterial small subunit ribosomal RNA", at positions 524 to 776 of the family's 1533-position model. The record is from RNAcentral.